This 17-nucleotide microRNA is filed under the name Corchorus olitorius. RNAcentral describes it as "hsa-miR-32". The record is from RNAcentral. Lineage: Eukaryota; Viridiplantae; Streptophyta; Magnoliopsida; Malvales; Malvaceae.
GGGAUAAGAAGAAAUAU